RNAcentral lists this ribosomal RNA (429 nucleotides) under Gemmatimonadota bacterium. RNAcentral describes it as "Gemmatimonadetes bacterium partial 16S ribosomal RNA". It matches the Rfam family "Bacterial small subunit ribosomal RNA", at positions 355 to 776 of the family's 1533-position model. Lineage: Bacteria; Pseudomonadati; Gemmatimonadota. The record is from RNAcentral.
UAGGGAAUCUUCGGCAAUGGACGAAAGUCUGACCGAGCAACGCCGCGUGAGUGAAGAAGGUUUUCGGAUCGUAAAACUCUGUUGUUAGAGAAGAACAAGGACGUUAGUAACUGAACGUCCCCUGACGGUAUGUAACCAGAAAGCCACGGCUAACUACGUGCCAGCAGCCGCGGUAAUACGUAGGUGGCAAGCGUUGUCCGGAUUUAUUGGGCGUAAAGCGAGCGCAGGCGGUUUCUUAAGUCUGAUGUGAAAGCCCCCGGCUCAACCGGGGAGGGUCAUUGGAAACUGGGAGACUUGAGUGCAGAAGAGGAGAGUGGAAUUCCAUGUGUAGCGGUGAAAUGCGUAGAUAUAUGGAGGAACACCAGUGGCGAAGGCGGCUCUCUGGUCUGUAACUGACGCUGAGGCUCGAAAGCGUGGGGAGCAAACAGG